UGCCGCCACAGGGAGCUGGACCCAGACUCUGUGCUGAAUCUCAAGGGGCUGUGUACUUCUAUGUCUUCAAUGUGUGUAACGCAGUGGGACUCUGGAGGAGCAUAACUGUUUGUCUGCCUGCAACAGAUUGCAAAAUUGGGACCUAUGAGACAAGACCAGUCUUAUGCUCGUGAUUCGUGCACAAGUCCAGUGAAGCCAAUGGGAAAGCUGCCUGAGUAAGGCAGGGAGCGACAGACCUACAUUAAACAGUUUGCUUCCUGAAGCCACCUGUUUUACAGAAUACAGUGACCACAAACUGCAACGCAGGACAGGGAAAGAAAGUGACUUCCCCUGGACACCACAUGGACUUACUAAGGCAAGCAACAUACGGCUAUGUCAUCAGGAUCACAGAACUACACAGGACUGCUUUCCAAGAUAUUUAUAUGCCUUAACUGCAGAAUAACCAUUGAGAUUAUAUGGGAAUGCUAUCCGCAUUUCACAGCCAGGCAAACUGAAGCAGGGCAUGUCUACACAAGACACUAAUAGCACAGUAGUCUAAUUCUACUGCACAUUAGUGUGGCAUGAAAAAAACAUGCUAAUGUACAGAAGAAUGAGUCUACUACACAUAAGCAUCACUGAAAAAGGGUGCGCUAGUGCUGAUGUGCAGUAGAUGUAGUAGUACCUGUGAUUACACGUACUAAACUUAAUGCGCCAUUAUUACAGCACAUUAAUGAACAUGUAGACGCACCUGCCAAGGGGUAAAGAACCUAGACUCUAGUUCAGCAACACAGAGGGAAGAAACUAGCUUCCUCUCUCAGGUUGGUGUAAGCCCAGCUAAUUUAACUGUACAUAACCAGUAAUGAGCACUUUCUGGCAUCAUAGUUAUAGAUCAUCUUCCCUGCUCCAUGCCCUGUGUGCCACUCUGCCAGCACAGUGCAAACAGAAAGCUAGCUAUGUGUUGUCCAUGUGGAGGAAAUCUCUGUCUUCAUCCUUCCCUGAGCACCUCCAGUAUGAGAAGCAUACAGAGGCCAUGCUGGGUAAAUGAGGGGAUGUAGCUGGAGCGUGCUGAAUUCAGCUCAUCCUGGGCUAAUGGAAUAACCCUUGGGGCAGCUAUUUAGGCCACUAUAAGUUGUUCUCACGAUAAGCUCACUUAGGCCCUAAGUGUGUCCAGGUUCAUAAAAGUAAGAAAAUCACUCUCAAAGCUGGAUGUGGUCUUCACAUCUUGAUUGAUUGAUUGAUUGAUAUUGAUUGAUUGAUGUAUCAGAUUGAUUGAUUGAUUUGGUGUAUAUGCCACCCUACCCCAAAAGGCUCAGGGCUGCUUACAGUAAGAGAAACAGAGAAGAGAAACCCUGUGAGGAUACACACCAUGCUGACAUGUCUGUGUGUGCAUCUGCACACGC
Alligator sinensis (Chinese alligator) is the source of this 1379-nucleotide long non-coding RNA. RefSeq lists it as uncharacterized. The record is from RefSeq and is a predicted model, not a curated record. Lineage: Eukaryota; Metazoa; Chordata; Crocodylia; Alligatoridae. The transcript is spliced from 2 exons.